AAAUUGAAGAGUUUGAUCAUGGCUCAGAUUGAACGCUGGCGGCAGGCCUAACACAUGCAAGUCGAACGGUAACAGGAAGAAGCUUGCUUCUUUGCUGACGAGUGGCGGACGGGUG
Molecule: ribosomal RNA, 115 nt
Filed under: Escherichia coli
Lineage: Bacteria; Pseudomonadati; Pseudomonadota; Gammaproteobacteria; Enterobacterales; Enterobacteriaceae
Description: partial 16S ribosomal RNA
Rfam family: Bacterial small subunit ribosomal RNA
Source: RNAcentral